This 1125-nucleotide unclassified non-coding RNA is filed under the name Hevea brasiliensis (rubber tree). The record is from RNAcentral. Lineage: Eukaryota; Viridiplantae; Streptophyta; Magnoliopsida; Malpighiales; Euphorbiaceae.
UCAUCUGAUGGGUUUCGCUUUGGGUAUCAGUACAAGACAGAUACCCCUAAUAUCCGUAGAUUGAUUACGAAUGGGACAGAAGCUGAACUGGGUUUAAUUCCUGUAUUCCCAACUUUGACUUUUCCUAAUCAUUAUGCUAUUGUUACUGGUUUGUACCCUGCUUAUCAUGGUAUUAUAAAUAACAAUUUCCUUGAUCCGAUUAGUGGAGAGCAUUUCACUAUGGGGAGUCAUGAUCCUAAGUGGUGGCUAGGUGAGCCGCUUUGGGAGACUGUAGUCAAUCAUGGUCUUAAGGCUGCUACUUAUUUCUGGCCUGGAUCUGAGGUAAAUAAAGGAGGCUGGACCUGUCCAGAGUCUCUUUGUAAGAGGUAUAAUGGUUCUGUGCCAUUUGAAGAACGAGUUGAUACUGUUUUGAAAUAUUUUGAUUUGCCAAAUGAUGAAAUUCCGUCGUUUAUGACACUCUAUUUUGAAGACCCUGAUCAUCAGGGUCACAAGGUUGGGCCAGAUGACCCUCAAAUCACUGAAGCCAUUGCAAGAGUUGAUAGCAUGAUUGGGAAGUUGAUCAAAGGCUUAGAAGCAAGAGGGGUUUUUGAGGAUGUGAAUAUUAUAAUGGUUGGCGAUCAUGGUAUGGUUGGCACCUGCGAUAGAAAGUUAAUUUUCUUGGAGGAUUUGGCUCCAUGGAUUGACAUUCCAAAGGAUUGGAUACAGUCAUAUAGUCCAUUGCUUUCCAUUCGUCCACCACCAAGUUACUCUGCCAAGGAUGUAGUUACCAAGAUGAAUGAGGGCUUAAAGUCAGAGAAGGUUAAGAAUGGGCAGUAUUUGAAAGUCUAUCUAAAAGAGGAACUGCCUGAUCGGCUGCACUAUUCUGCGAGUGACCGAAUACCAACCAUCAUUGGGUUGAUCGAUGAAGCAUUUAAGGUUGAACAGAAGAGCUCAAAGAGGUUCGAAUGUGGUGGAGCUCAUGGUUAUGACAAUGCAUUCUUCUCAAUGAGGACCAUUUUCAUUGGCCAUGGUCCUAAGUUUGCUAGGGGCCGAAAAGUCUCAUCAUUUGAGAAUGUUCAGAUUUACAACAUGGUUACCACAAUCCUUAACAUACAAGGAGCAUCCAAUAAUGGAACAUCAUCAUUU